Molecule: long non-coding RNA, 965 nt
Filed under: Brachypodium distachyon (stiff brome)
Lineage: Eukaryota; Viridiplantae; Streptophyta; Magnoliopsida; Poales; Poaceae
Description: long non-coding RNA (BDIS_LNC003120)
Source: RNAcentral
UCUUGUCCAAGUGAAGUGAGCACCACUGCUGCAGAGAGAGAGAUCGAGAUGGCAGCGUCCAUGAUCACGUCGCCUCUGGUGGCGCCGACGAGCCUGCCGUCGCUGUCGCGGCGGGGCUCCAACUUCGCCGUCGUCUGCAGCGGCGGCAAGAAGAUCAAGGUCGACAAGCCCCUCGGUGAGAGCUAUAUACCCAGCCAGGCUUCCCGUGACAUCUUUGUUUAAUACUCCCUCAGUCCAUUCAAAUUUAACCAAAUAUGAAUGCAUUUACGUCUAAAAAAUGCUAGAUACAUCUAACAAUUUUGUCCAAAUAUGAUUGUAUUUACGUCUAAAAAAUGGUUAAAUACAUCUAAUAGAAAGUUACUUAAUAUGGGACGGAGGGAAUACUCUCUUCGAUCCUAAAUUGUUUUCAUUAUUUUAGUUCAACGGGGGAGUAUUAAUCAAUCCGAUGUGAAUUCAUUCUUGGUUUGGUUUGGUUUUAUUAAUCAUCCAAUGAGACUAAUUGUUUGUUUUUGUGCAGGGAUCGGAGGUGGCUUGACGGUGGACAUCGACGCCAACGGCAGGAAGGGCACGGUUAGAUUGAUGCUUCCCAAACACUUCCUCUCUUUUUUCUUGUUACACGUACACCUGCACAUGUACUGUGUGUGCGAGUUCACUAUACAGACAAACUAGCUAGCUAGAAACAAAUAGAUUUUGUGGAUAGUUUGCAAGUUCGCAUAUUACUACUUCAAAUAUACACGAUUUUGAACAAGCGGUCAGUGAAUUGGUCUGACCGUAAAAUCUUCUUCUCUUCAUGCAGGGAAAGGGUGUGUACCAGUUUGUUGACAAGUACGGCGCCAACGUCGACGGCUACAGGUAAACUAUAUACGUACUCCUGAGAUGUAUAUGAGCCAGAUCCGGAUUUUUUUUUUGAGAAUAAGAGCCAGAUCCGGAUGAAAGAUUAGUACGGAGUACUUAAUUUGGCCCAU